RNAcentral lists this ribosomal RNA (701 nucleotides) under uncultured Bacilli bacterium. Its description in RNAcentral is "bacterial SSU rRNA". It matches the Rfam family "Bacterial small subunit ribosomal RNA", at positions 60 to 746 of the family's 1533-position model. The record is from RNAcentral. Lineage: Bacteria; Bacillati; Bacillota; Bacilli.
AGUCGAGCGGAUUUUCUCCUUCGGGAGAAGGUUAGCGGCGGACGGGCGAGUAACACGUAGGCAACCUGCCCCUAAGACCGGGAUAACAUUCGGAAACGAAUGCUAAGACCGGAUACGCAAUACUCUCGCAUGAGGGGAUCGGGAAACACGGAGCAAUCUGUGGCUUAUGGAUGGGCCUGCGGCGCAUUAGCUAGUUGGUGAGGUAACGGCCCACCAAGGCGACGAUGCGUAGCCGACCUGAAAGGGUGAACGGCCACACUGGGACUGAGACGCGGCCCAGACUCCUACGGGAGGCAGCAGUAGGGAAUCUUCCACAAUGGACGCAAGUCUGAUGGAGCAACGCCGCGUGAGUGAGGAAGGCCUUCGGGUCGUAAAGCUCUGUUGCCAGGGAAGAACGCAUGGGAGAGUAACUGCUCCUGUGGUGACGGUACCUGAGAAGAAAGCCCCGGCUAACUACGUGCCAGCAGCCGCGGUAAUACGUAGGGGGCAAGCGUUGUCCGGAAUUAUUGGGCGUAAAGCGCGCGCAGGCGGUUCUUUAAGUCUGGUGUCUAAGUGCGGGGCUCAACCCCGUGAUGCACUGGAAACUGGGGAACUUGAGUGCAGAAGAGGAGAGCGGAAUUCCACGUGUAGCCGGUGAAAAUGCGUAGAGAUGUGGAGGAACACCAGUGGCGAAAGCGGCUCUUUUGGACUGUAACUGACGC